This 494-nucleotide ribosomal RNA is filed under the name uncultured bacterium. RNAcentral describes it as "partial 16S ribosomal RNA". It matches the Rfam family "Bacterial small subunit ribosomal RNA", at positions 28 to 507 of the family's 1533-position model. The record is from RNAcentral.
GACGAACGCUGGCGGCGUGCUUAACACAUGCAAGUCGAACGGUGAAGCGCCUUCCUUUUUGGUGGGUGUGGAUGAGUGGCGAACGGGUGAGUAACACGUGAGUAACCUGCCCCCUUCUUCUGGAUAACCGCAUGAAAGUGUGGCUAAUACGGGAUAUUCUGGGUCUGUCGCAUGAUGGGUCUGGGAAAGAUAUUGUUUCGGUGGGGGAUGGGCUCGCGGCCUAUCAGCUUGUUGGUGGGGUGAUGGCCUACCAAGGCGGUGACGGGUAGCCGGCCUGAGAGGGUGGACGGUCACACUGGGACGGAGACACGGCCCAGACUCCGACGGGAGGCAGCAGUGGGGAAUAUGGCACAAUGGGCGCAAGCCUGAUGCAGCGACGCCGCGUGAGGGAUGGAGGCCUUCGGGUUGUGAACCUCUUUCGCCAGUGAAGCAGGCCUGCCUCGUUUGUGGGUGGGUUGACGGUAGCUGGAUAAGAAGCGCCGGCUAACUACGUG